CUGCAGUCGAGCGGAGAAGGGAGCUUGCUCUCUGAUUCAGCGGCGGACGGGUGAGUAAUGCCUAGGAAUCUGCCUGGUAGUGGGGGACAACGUUUCGAAAGGAACGCUAAUACCGCAUACGUCCUACGGGAGAAAGUGGGGGAUCUUCGGACCUCACGCUAUCAGAUGAGCCUAGUUGGAAAUAGCUAGCAGGACAACGAUCGGCUCACCUAGGCUAGCUCCACCUCGCGGUCUGAGAACCCUCUGUACCGACCUGGGACUGAGACGUGUUGCAGACUCCUACGGGAGGAAGCAGUGUUGAAUAUUGGACAAUGGGCGAAAG
This 322-nucleotide ribosomal RNA is filed under the name Pseudomonas knackmussii. RNAcentral describes it as "bacterial SSU rRNA". It matches the Rfam family "Bacterial small subunit ribosomal RNA", at positions 55 to 381 of the family's 1533-position model. Lineage: Bacteria; Pseudomonadati; Pseudomonadota; Gammaproteobacteria; Pseudomonadales; Pseudomonadaceae. The record is from RNAcentral.